This is a long non-coding RNA of Pan troglodytes (chimpanzee), 4102 nucleotides long. RefSeq lists it as uncharacterized. The record is from RefSeq and is a predicted model, not a curated record. The transcript is spliced from 3 exons. Lineage: Eukaryota; Metazoa; Chordata; Mammalia; Primates; Hominidae.
CUGCCAGAGAGAUGUAUAAGCAUCUUGAGCUCCACUGGUAGAGUUAUGAGUUCUUGAAUUUAGAGGUUAUUAGAAGAAUUUUUUCCUACUGUUUUCAUGUAAAUUACCACUCAGGAAAAAAUGGUGGAAUAGAAUCUCUUUUUCCCUUUUAUAGUGUCUUUUUCAUUGCUUCCAAAUUUUUCAUAACUUUUCUACAGCUACCAAUACCAUCUUAUAUCAUCCAGACUGCCAUUGCAAUACACUCUUAACUCUUUCUAUGCUAGCACAUCCUAUACAUAGCAUUCAUUCAUUCAUUCGCUCACUUAGCAAACAUACCUGGUAGAGCCUGAACAUUCUAUUAGGCACUAGACAUAUUAAUGAGUUCAAAUAUCUUCUUCAGAUUCCCAUCACUUGUCAUAUAAAUGUCAAGGCCCAUUGCCUAUGAUUCAGAAACCUCUGCAUUUACUUAUUUCAACCUGCUUUGAUACCUUUAACCUACUUUUUCCUUUUUUUUCUUUCUUUUAAGAAAUAGGAUCUUGCAAUGUUACCCAGGAUAGAUUUUAACCCGUAGGCUCAAGGGAUCUUCCUGCCUCAGCCUCUUGGUUAGUUGGAACUAUAGGUGUAUGCUGCUGGCCCUGGCUCAACCUGCUUUUUAAUUCUUUCUCUCCCUACAUGGUAUUAUGAACUCUCAACUCCAGGUGGACCAAUCUCCUCUUGUGUCUGUGCCUUUGCUUUGGUGGUCCUCUUCUGGGUGUGCCCGCCUAUCUAGAUUUCACUUGUUCAAACCUAAUAUUCAGUGGGAAGUUCAGGUAUUACUGCUUUUGUGAAACUCCCCUGACAACAAAGGUUCAUAGGACCCUUGUUGUUUAAUAUCUGAAUUUAUAUAAUUAAAACUGCUAGUUAUCUUUUUAAGCAUAUAGGAAAACAACAAGAUUUCAAGAUACUUAAAUGAAAAGAGAGAAAGAUACUGGUUUAUCUGUUCUCUCACCCUCCAUAGCAUCUCAUACAGUCUUACUCAACAAAUGCUUGCCUAUUUAUUUUUUAAGCCACAUAAUAACACAUAAAAAUGGAAAGUGAUUCACUGUUGGGGUUAUUCCAGUAGUUUAUUGCUUCCCUCUUAUUUAUUUGUUUUUUGGAUGACUUCAGAUACCAACUUGGUUCAAACCCUUAUCAAAAAUGACCUUUCCAACUUGGCUCCUGUGGAGUCUUCAUCCUUCUUCUGUCAUUGCUAUAUAAAUACAGGAUUCCCUAGUCUAGUCUGGAGAGCACAGCAUCAGGUAGUGGAAAGAGCUGCAGCCUUGCACAGCAAACUAGAUUUGAGUUCUAAUUCUCCCUGAAAAUUGUUUGACUCUAGAAAUAGCUUGCCUCUCUGAACCUCAAGUCCCUCUUCUGUAAAGCAGAAUUAAUAAAACCCAUUGCAGGGCUGUUGUGAAAAUAAAAUGUGAUAAUAUAUGAAUAUAGUGCCUAUUUUGCUCACUUCACAGUAGAUGAUCGCUAAAUUAUAGCUAUUAUUUAUAUCGACCAUGAAUGCUAUAGUGUUCUGCCUCUUCUAGGGCUCUGGAAGAACCACUGAACUUACAGCGAUGCAUACCAGCCUACUAUGUAGUGGGCUCUCCCAAAUUGUAAUUUUGGGAGCUGUUCAGCAUGCAGACUCCUUCCUUGUUGGUACAGAGCCUCUUUUUCGUAGUAUGGUUGGAGAAUAGUGGCCUCUACUUAUCACAGAUGUCAGAGACUUUAAAUCCUCCCUCUUUUCAUCCCUAGGUUGAUAGAGUUUAGCAAAUGUCCAGAGUUUGGCCCAUUAUAUCCCUCUGCCACCUUGCCUCUGAGAUUUUGAAUCCUGACUGUGUGACUCUUGCUUCUGGGAUUUUGAAACCUGAGAGUAUGUCCCAAAGCUAAAUACUCACGUAAAAUUUAUUCACAGCUCAGGCAGCUGCAGUGGUGGUAUUCGGCUACAUUCUUCCUUCUUCCUACAAGAUCAUUGUUGAGCUUCCUCCUCUUUAAUCAUCCAGACUGCUACAGUUCUUGUUCUUCUAAGUUUCCUGUUGCUGAGAACCUCUGAUAAACUUCCAGUAAAUCACUAACCCUUCUUCCCCAAUUUUUCUCCCUAUGUUCUUGAAACCAAGAGCUCAGAGUGAUAUACUACAUGUCCCUGGUGCUUCAUUCAAUGACAGAGGAUCCAUGGUGCACUGUCCCACCCUUUGAUCUUGUCCCCAUGACUGACUGUAAGGCUUGGUGAAGUCUUCUGCUGUCAUCGUUGUUGUAUCAUAGUUUCCAGGGAAUCCUGGUUUUUAAGGAAUCCUGGAAUCCUGGAGCCAGAAAGAAUGUUGAGCUGCCCUCUAGCUAAGCCAUUGGCUUUCCAGUCACCUCCUGUCUAUUUUCACAGGAUGACAUUUCUCAACUUGAAUUGUUUCCAUGUUCCGGUUUUCCCCUCCUCCUUUAGAAGAAUGGCUCAACCAAUAAAAUUCUGGCACCUUCUCUUUUCAACACCUGAACAUGUUAUCAGGAGACACAAAUUCUCGUGUAACCUUUGCUGUCGAUAGUCGUUGUGUAAGCCAAUUCAUCUCUUCGUCCUUCAGUCUUCUCACCUAUAAACUAGGCUAAGUAGCAGCAGAGGGUCAUUUUGAGGGGAAAAUUAAAAAAUUGUCAUGGUGGAAUAUUUCAAAAACGAGACUGGAAGUAAUAAGCAGACGAUGCCCUGAAUAUUUUUCACAGACCAAUGAUCAUAAAAUGAAUGGUAACAACAUUAGGAAAGAUGGGGUGACUUUUGGGUUUAGCUAUUAGCCAUGGAGAAUUGUGCGUUGAGUGGCAGUGAGGGGCUGGGGGCUGAAUGAAAGCUACUGUUUUUCUAAUCAGGUAGUGACCUCUUCUGGGGAAAGAAAGAGUCUAGCAGAGCCUCAGCAUUAGGAGACAUGUGCAACGUUUGUACCAAGGCAACCAAUGAUAGAGAGGAUGGUCCCCCGAGGGAGAAGCUCUUGGGGUAGAUGUUUGCCCUGGGCAGCCAGGUGGAAAACAAAAAUAAAUGAAAUGAAACUAAAAAUCACUUUCUGGGUAGCUUUACCCAAAAGAGCUCUCAUUGAGAGAGCUAAUGAAACCUUGUGGACCUGUGUAUGCAUUGUGGUGAGGUUACCGUCCGCGCAAGCUGGCCAGAUUCAAGAACCCAAGAUUGAUUUUUAGGGUGAAUGGUUCAAAAAAGGUCCAGAUGGGAAACGUAUUUGUGUGCAUUCCUAUCUGGAAGGAAAAAGGACUCUUUCAGAGGGACAAACCAAAAUUCAAACGAAUAGUGAGGUCUAGAGUGGCGAGUGACUUUUGCCCAGUAGUCCUUUAGGUGGUAGGAAAGGGGCAAGUUCCUAUUGCAAUCUUGUCAGUUGAACUAGAGUAGUACAAACUGUAAAAGUUUUUUUUUUUUUUUUUCUCCCUCUACCAUACACCAGUAUAUUCAUCUGCUACUUAAAGGUCUUGGAAGGAGGAAGAAAGAAAACCUCCAGGAAGUCUUCUGGGUGACUUCAGCAACAAUUGCAUUACCCUUUUCCAGCAACCAGGAGUAAAACCCAAAGAGUUGCUGGCUGUUGGCUGGAAAUCAAACAAAACAAAGAAUUAAUUGGAGCUAAGGCUGUGGAAAGUGCCAGUCUGUGACAUGCAUGGAAGAAAGCAAGGAAAGCCUGGAGUGACCUGGAUUGCAUAGCAGAAAGAAAAAUCCCUGCAGGGGCAGUGUGAAAAGACUAGGGAGCUCCUGGAUUCCCUUCCAAACAUUUGUAACAUAGGAAGACUUUCCCAAUCUCUGAGGACUUUCUGUCUUCCCUCUUUCCAUCUGAGAUGCCUUUUCACCAGACUCUGGAACUUCUGCAUUCAGGGUCAUGUCUGAAGCCAAAGUCAGGUAUUAAAAACAUUCAGAUAUAAAAGUAAAGAUCUCAUUGAGACUAAGAGGAAGAUCACCUUUUGAGAGUCCCUCAAAAGUUCACUUUAUGUCCUACGAUAUAAAUGCCAUUCUAAAACAUAAAAAAUAUACUUGUUUACACUGUUGGUGGGAGUGUAAAUUAGUUCAACCCUUGUGGAACACAGUAUGGCAAUUCCUCAAAGACCUACAGGCAGAAAUACCAUUUGACCCAGAAAUCCCAUUACUGAG